RNAcentral lists this microRNA (17 nucleotides) under Homo sapiens (human). Its description in RNAcentral is "hsa-miR-4500". The record is from miRBase by way of RNAcentral. Lineage: Eukaryota; Metazoa; Chordata; Mammalia; Primates; Hominidae.
UGAGGUAGUAGUUUCUU